CUUGUUGUCAAAAUUUACAGUUUCUUUUCUAAAUUUCUAGUAGUAAACAAUUCGACAGAAAAUAACAAAAAUGUCCUGUGCACGCUGUGGAUAUGGAGUUUAUAAAACUGACGAGUUUAUUUCAUUAAACAAGGUUUGGCACAAAUGUUGUUUUACUUGUUAUCAGUGCGACAAGCGGCUGGAAAAAGAAUGUGCAAAAAUAUUUCAAGGUGAAUUAUUCUGUCAGUGCUGCUACUCCUGUGUAAUUGAAAAACUUUUUGAGGUAAUUUCCACUCCUUCAGUAAUAAAACCUUGUAAAGUGCUUUCUACUCCAAGUUGUACCAUCAGCAAAUCAUUUGUGCAGUGUCUGAGAAAACGCGAAAACUGCUGUCCAAAGAAAAUUGAUUGUUAUAAAAGCAAACAAUUUUGCUUUCCCGCUGAAAAAAAGAACUGCAAGAUCGCUUACUCAUGCAGUUGUUUACCAAUCCAGCAGAAUUAUAAAAAUGAGUAUUGCUUUGACUUUCCUAUACCAAGAGAAGUAGCGAACUACUACAGCCGAUCACAUAUGAAAAGCAACGCUUGCAAAAACCCUGUAUCAUGCUGUACAACACGACCAUGUCCAGCUUGCAAUGUUCAAAAAUCAGACCGUUGUUGUGAACCCAAAUGUAAUCAGGUCGCCGUUAAAACCUUAAAAAGCUGUUGUUGCGGAUCCUGUGAGCCUUGUCUAAGAAUUAUUAAUGCUCCAAAUAGUUAUUCGUCUUCGUGCGACCCAAGCGUUCCAUGUCAGACUUGCCAGUGUUGCCAAGAAACGGUAUGCCCUACCAGAAAAUUACCCUGCAGACCAAGUUGUUCCCCACCACCCUGUUCUCACCCAGUUCAACCCUGCUGUUGCAAAAAAACACCAAAAUGUUGUCAGCAAUAUCAAAAUAAUGUCUGUCCUUUAAAGGUCUGUUGUGAACCUUCAAUUUGUUGUUGUCAAAAACAAAAAUGUUCGCAGCAAACGAGAUGCUGUUCUCUAAAAAAUGUAUGCCCAAUCUUGCAAGAUUGUUGUUGUCAGCAACCUAAACGUUGUACACCACAACGUGUUUGUGUUCUGCCUCCUAAAUGCCCUCCUUUGCAAUGCUGUCCAGUGAGGAUGGAGGGAUGUUGUAAGCCUUCAACCGCUUGUGAGUCUAAAAAAUCACCUUGCAACCCAUGCAGACCCCCUAAAUAUUGUGUUUGCGGCAACUUAAACCCAUGUGACUGUAAAAUAUCUCAAAUUAAGGCCCAAUGUACAGCCUGCUGCAAUAGAUGCGGAUAUAAGUCCGUCUUUUAGGUGUAUGCCGCUGAAAAAAUUUCGGUAUCAUGUGGGGCGUACCAUACCAGUUGUUUCACUUGUUCUUGCUGUAACAAAUGCUUGGACGUUAAGAAUGUCUAUGAAGGUUGUGGAGAAAUUUAUUGCAAAAGCUGUUACAAUCAUUUUUUUGGAACAGAGUACUAUGGUUUUGGAAACAUAAGUUAAUCACAAUAAGUUAAGCCCGUAUUGAAAUUAUAUAAGAAGAAACUUGUCUAAACUGUUAUUAUAUAAAUAUCUGUGAUUGUA
This 1561-nucleotide unclassified non-coding RNA is filed under the name Anthonomus grandis grandis. RNAcentral's name for it is "keratin-associated protein 10-1-like". The record is from RNAcentral. Lineage: Eukaryota; Metazoa; Arthropoda; Insecta; Coleoptera; Curculionidae.